GACGAACGCUGGCGGCGUGCCUAAUACAUGCAAGUUGAGCGCUGAAGGUUGGUACUUGUACCAACUGGAUGAGCAGCGAACGGGUGAGUAACGCGUGGGGAAUCUGCCUUUGAGCGGGGGACAACAUUUGGAAACGAAUGCUAAUACCGCAUAAAAACUUUAAACACAAGUUUUAAGUUUGAAAGAUGCAAUUGCAUCACUCAAAGAUGAUCCCGCGUUGUAUUAGCUAGUUGGUGAGGUAAAGGCUUACCAAGGCGAUGAUACAUAGCCGACCUGAGAGGGUGAUCGGCCACAUUGGGACCGAGACACGGCCCAAACUCCUACGGGAGGCAGCAGUAGGGAAUCUUCGGCAAUGGACGAAAGUCUGACCGAGCAACGCCGCGUGAGUGAAGAAGGUUUUCGGAUCGGAAAACUCUGUUGGUAGAGAAGAACGUUGGUGAGAGUGGAAAGCUCAUCAAGUGACGGUAACUACCCAGAAAGGGACGGCUAACUACGUG
RNAcentral lists this ribosomal RNA (497 nucleotides) under uncultured bacterium. RNAcentral's name for it is "partial 16S ribosomal RNA". It matches the Rfam family "Bacterial small subunit ribosomal RNA", at positions 28 to 507 of the family's 1533-position model. The record is from RNAcentral.